ACCUGAGACAUUACCUGGUUAUAACCUGGUUAUUACCUGGUUAUAACCUGAGACAUUAACUUGUUAUAACCUGGUUAUAACCUGGUUAUAACCUGAGACAUUAC
Molecule: non-coding RNA, 104 nt
Organism: Xyrichtys novacula (pearly razorfish)
Lineage: Eukaryota; Metazoa; Chordata; Actinopteri; Labriformes; Labridae
Source: the annotation of a GenBank genome assembly